UUAUUUGAAUCGAUAUCUUCGCUUGUACGCAAUGAUUUUUGAAAUGGGGUCUCCAGCGACCCCGGUGUGACACCAGUGUAAGGACUAAUAUU
Diprion similis is the source of this 92-nucleotide long non-coding RNA. RefSeq lists it as uncharacterized. NCBI's taxonomy places the organism in Eukaryota, Metazoa, Arthropoda, Insecta, Hymenoptera, Diprionidae. The record is from RefSeq and is a predicted model, not a curated record. The transcript is spliced from 3 exons.